AACGAACGCUGGCGGCAUGCCUAACACAUGCAAGUCGAACGAGACCUUCGGGUCUAGUGGCGCACGGGUGCGUAACGCGUGGGAAUCUGCCCUUGGGUUCGGAAUAACUCUCCGAAAGGCGUGCUAAUACCGGAUGAUGACGUAAGUCCAAAGAUUUAUCGCCCAAGGAUGAGCCCGCGUUGGAUUAGCUAGUUGGUGAGGUAAAGGCUCACCAAGGCGACGAUCCAUAGCUGGUCUGAGAGGAUGAUCAGCCACACUGGGACUGAGACACGGCCCAGACUCCUACGGGAAGCAGCAGUGGGGAAUAUUGGAAAGUGGGCGAAAGGCUGAUCCAGCAAUGCCGCGUGAGUGAUGAAGGCAUUAGAGUUGUAAAGCUCUAGUACCCGGGAUGAUAAUGACCGUACCGGGAGAAUAAGCUCCGGCUAACUCCGUG
This 433-nucleotide ribosomal RNA is filed under the name uncultured bacterium. RNAcentral describes it as "partial 16S ribosomal RNA". It matches the Rfam family "Bacterial small subunit ribosomal RNA", at positions 29 to 507 of the family's 1533-position model. The record is from RNAcentral.